GGUGGAGCAUGUGGUUUAAUUCGAAGAUACACGAAGAACCUUACCUGGCCUUGACAUGGUAGGAACCUUAAGAGAUUAGGGGGUGCUAGCUUGCUAGAACCUACACACAGGUGCUGCACGGCUGUCGUCAGCUCGUGUCGUGAGAUGUUGGGUUAAGUCCCGCAACGAGCGCAACCCUCGUCCUUAGUUGCUAACAGUUCGGCUGAGCACUCUAGGGAGACUGCCUUCGCAAGGAGGAGGAAGGUGAGGACGACGUCAAGUCAUCAUGGCCCUUACGGCCAGGGCUACACACGUGCUACAAUGGGGCGUACAGAGAGCUGCGAUACCGCGAGGUGGAGCCAAUCUCUUAAAGCGUCUCUCAGUUCGGAUUGUUCUCUGCAACUCGAGAACAUGAAGCUGGAAUCACUAGUAAUCGCAGAUCAGCUAUGCUGCGGUGAAUACGUUCCCGGGUCUU
Molecule: ribosomal RNA, 454 nt
Filed under: uncultured Sulfuricurvum sp.
Lineage: Bacteria; Pseudomonadati; Campylobacterota; Epsilonproteobacteria; Campylobacterales; Sulfurimonadaceae
Description: bacterial SSU rRNA
Rfam family: Bacterial small subunit ribosomal RNA
Source: RNAcentral